Molecule: ribosomal RNA, 405 nt
Filed under: uncultured bacterium
Lineage: Bacteria
Description: bacterial SSU rRNA
Rfam family: Bacterial small subunit ribosomal RNA
Source: RNAcentral
AAUGGGCGACAGCCUGAACCAGCCAUCCCGCGUGAAGGAAGAAGGCGCUAUGCGUUGUAAACUUCUUUUCCAGAGGAAUAAAAUUAUGUACGAGUACGGAACUGAAGGUACUCUGGGAAUAAGCAUCGGAUAACUCCGUGCCAGCAGCCGCGGUAAUACGGAGGAUGCGAGCGUUAUCCGGAUUCAUUGGGUUUAAAGGGUGCGUAGGCGGACUUAUAAGUCAGUGGUGAAAACCUUCAGCUUAACUGGAGAACUGCCAUUGAUACUGUUAGUCUUGAGUACGGUCAAUGUAGGCGGAAUGUGUAAUGUAGCGGUGAAAUGCUUAGAUAUUACACAGAACACCGAUUGCGAAGGCAGCUUACUGGGCCAUUACUGACGCUGAUGCACGAAAGCGUGGGGAGCGAA